RNAcentral lists this microRNA (20 nucleotides) under Gallus gallus (chicken). RNAcentral's name for it is "microRNA Ros-gga". Lineage: Eukaryota; Metazoa; Chordata; Aves; Galliformes; Phasianidae. The record is from RNAcentral.
CGGGUGUCCGGCGCGCGGCU